GGCUGGUCUAAGUGCAAUGGUGUUUACAACUAAUUGAUCACAAGCAGUUACAGAUUUCUUUGUUCCUUCUCCACUCCCACUGCUUUAUUUGACGUGGUUUAAA
Unclassified non-coding RNA from Cebus imitator (Panamanian white-faced capuchin), 103 nucleotides. It matches the Rfam family "Y RNA". Rfam says of the family: Y RNAs are components of the Ro ribonucleoprotein particle (Ro RNP), in association with Ro60 and La proteins. The Y RNAs and Ro60 and La proteins are well conserved, but the function of the Ro RNP is not known. The record is from Ensembl. Lineage: Eukaryota; Metazoa; Chordata; Mammalia; Primates; Cebidae.